RNAcentral lists this ribosomal RNA (253 nucleotides) under uncultured bacterium. Its description in RNAcentral is "partial 16S ribosomal RNA". It matches the Rfam family "Bacterial small subunit ribosomal RNA", at positions 524 to 776 of the family's 1533-position model. The record is from RNAcentral.
UACGAAGGGGGCUAGCGUUGCUCGGAAUCACUGGGCGUAAAGGGUGCGUAGGCGGGUUUUUAAGUCAGGGGUGAAAUCCUGGAGCUCAACUCCAGAACUGCCUUUGAUACUGAAGAUCUCGAGUCCGGGAGAGGUGAGUGGAACUGCGAGUGUAGAGGUGAAAUUCGUAGAUAUUCGCAAGAACACCAGUGGCGAAGGCGGCUCACUGGCCCGGUACUGACGCUGAGGCACGAAAGCGUGGGGAGCAAACAGG